Molecule: long non-coding RNA, 298 nt
Filed under: Musa acuminata (dwarf banana)
Lineage: Eukaryota; Viridiplantae; Streptophyta; Magnoliopsida; Zingiberales; Musaceae
Description: long non-coding RNA (MACU_LNC006266)
Source: RNAcentral
UCCUCCUCACCUGGCCUUAUCCAUCCGUUUCCCCCUUCCUUUAAAGCACACCUCUCUUCCUUCCCUCCUCAUUUCACCGGAAACCUUCAACAAAGCAAGAAAGCGGGAUCGUGAGAGAGCGAGAAAUGGCUUCUGGUUUGGUCCUCACCUCGAUCCGGCCGGCAGUGAUCCGGGCGAGCACCGGCGACGGCCGCGGGGGGCGGUUGGCCCCCGCGAAGGCCGCCGGCGGAGGGGGCAACAGCUGGUGGGUCCCGCUGUUCGGGUGGUCGUCGGAGCCCGACUACAUCGACGGCCCCGC